Molecule: transfer RNA, 102 nt
Filed under: Violaceomyces palustris
Lineage: Eukaryota; Fungi; Basidiomycota; Ustilaginomycetes; Violaceomycetales; Violaceomycetaceae
Description: tRNA-Lys
Rfam family: tRNA
About the family: Transfer RNA (tRNA) molecules are approximately 80 nucleotides in length.
Source: RNAcentral
UCCCGGCUAGCUCAGUCGGUAGAGCAUCAGACUCUUAUACGAGAGCCUCCAAGUUAGCUUGGUCACAUCUGAAUGUCGAGGGUUCGAGCCCCUCGUUGGGAG